Syngnathus acus (greater pipefish) is the source of this 265-nucleotide long non-coding RNA. RefSeq lists it as uncharacterized. The transcript is spliced from 3 exons. The record is from RefSeq and is a predicted model, not a curated record. Lineage: Eukaryota; Metazoa; Chordata; Actinopteri; Syngnathiformes; Syngnathidae.
UGAAGUGGGCGCAUGUGCAAGAAUGGAGGAGAAUGUUGACAGGAAGGUCACUUGGAGAUAAAACCAGCAGGUGCCAGAGGGAGACAGCCACGAACCCGGCCAAAGAUGAUCGCCAAGGCCAAAAGACGAAAAGGAAAAUAACAGCCCCCACACACAUCGAAUCUCCCAUAAUCAGCACCCAACCCCACGAAACCAGCUCUCACCGAGCCAGCACCCACUCCCAUGGAAUCAAACUCUCCUGGGAACUUGCCCUACCCCAAAGACU